UACAGAGGGGGCAAGCGUUAUUCGGAAUUAUUGGCGUAAAGGGCGCGUAGGCGGCUUUGCAAGUGGCGGGUGAAAUCCCUCGGCUUAACCGAGGAACUGCCUGCCAGACUGUGAGGCUUGAGACCGGGAGAGGUGAGUGGAAUUCCCAGUGUAGCGGUGAAAUGCGUAGAUAUUGGGAGGAACACCAGUGGCGAAGGCGGCUCACUGGACCGGAACUGACGCUGAGGCGCGAAAGCGUGGGGAGCAAACAGG
RNAcentral lists this ribosomal RNA (252 nucleotides) under uncultured bacterium. Its description in RNAcentral is "partial 16S ribosomal RNA". It matches the Rfam family "Bacterial small subunit ribosomal RNA", at positions 524 to 776 of the family's 1533-position model. The record is from RNAcentral.